GUGCUUGCUUCGGCCGCACAUUUAGUAAAAUUGGAAUAAUACAGAGAAGAUUAGCAUGGCCCCUGCACAAGGAUGACAUGCAAAUUCAUGAAGCAUUCCAUAUUUUU
This 107-nucleotide small nuclear RNA is filed under the name Dasypus novemcinctus (nine-banded armadillo). Lineage: Eukaryota; Metazoa; Chordata; Mammalia; Cingulata; Dasypodidae. The record is from RNAcentral.